Molecule: non-coding RNA, 3282 nt
Organism: Anas platyrhynchos (mallard)
Lineage: Eukaryota; Metazoa; Chordata; Aves; Anseriformes; Anatidae
Source: RefSeq, a predicted model, not a curated record
CCAAGGCUCAUGCACCGGCUGUUCUGCUUGCAGGAGCGCAGCGAGAACCCGUCUCUGGUGCUCCCGAUGGCCGGCUUCUGCUGGGAUGGUGUUAGCAAAACCAGCAGCACCCAGAAAGAGAAGGGCAGAGGGACUGGGGGUCUGAGCCUUUUUUAGGAAUGGAGGCAGAACGCUUCACUGGGGUGGUGGCUGUGGUUAGGGGGAGCACAGGAAACUGUGGCAUCGGUGGAGAAAAACGAGCAACUCGGUGUGUGUGGAUUUUCCUUUUGGCCCAGCUAUCUUUGUUUGUUUCGUUUGGUUUUGUUUUUCCCUGCAGCUGUUUUGGUGAAGAAGCGAUGUUCUCUGCUCUUCCCCUCUAGCUUCUCACUGUGAGACCUACAGGUGCUGUCUGCAGAAACCAAAGAUCGUGAACGAUAGGGGAAAAGUCCUUAAACUGAUCACAGGUGAAACCAAGACCUUGAACUGUGAGGCCGAGCAGGCAGCCAGCAUUGCCUCAGCUGCUGCAUCAGGGGAGGAGAGUGCGAGCACCACCCUCGGCACCCUGCGGUACAAACGGUGCCGAAAAUCAGGCGGCAGAAGCUCGGUGUCACACCUCGCUGCCUGGGAAGCAGCCUCCGUGGAGAGACGGCAGUCUGGCCAAAGCGAUGUCUUCAUACUGAGGUCUUCUUGUUGGCAGCACUUAAAUCCUGACAAAGCAGUAUUUCUCCACAUAACUGAAGUAGUUCACAAAACAUAGGAAUCCACAACCUCGGCUGCAGGUCACUCGCCACUAACAAGCGCUUCAGCAGCGUGCAGAGCUCCGAGUGGCUGCGGAGCACGUUGUGAGACCAGGACCAGAGCAACAAAACAGGCUGGGAAAAUGUUUUCCUUAGUUUUACAGAGAAGAAACCACUGCAGCAUUAUGAAGGUAACUGCGUAGCUGCUCCUAAGUGGCCUUUUUGCUUCUGUUUUACAUCCUGCAAAAGUGACCUGCCGUGGUGCUGACUGUGUGCUGAUCACUUUACCCCAGAAAUACCAGGUCAGUCCCACUGAUGGUUUGUCCAGGCGGUGAAAAUGUGGUAGAGAGGAGUGGAGAGCAUGAUGGAUGCAUUUCUGGAGCACAGGCAUUUCUUCUUUUUGUGUGUCUGUGUGAAAGUGUGCUUGGGGUUUUACCGAAAUCCGAUCAUCCUGGGUUUUGAACACCUUAGUGCUGACAGACUGGUUCCGAAGGAGAACACCCUGCCCAAAGUGGCACUUCGCUAGCCAAGUGAUAUAAGUGAUACACCUUCUGUUAACCAAACCCAUACAUCCACGCAGAAAGACAGCCAGAAAACGCUGUGCCCUGCAAUAAGAGAAUUAUACGGCUUCCUUCGUUAGCAGGAGGCAGGUUGAGGUGCAGAGGGAGGGUUUACAUGUUUGCUGUUUAGUUGUUUUCCUUUCCCACUUCGCAUGACUUCUCAUUAGGCAGCUGGAAACGAGCUCCCGUUAACCUUUGAUUAUUACGAAUCCAAAGAAGCUCUCAUAACUGUCUCAAAACGAAUAAAAAUCACGGGGGCAAAGCUACAGAUUUCUACUGUCUUGAAGGCAAUGAGUGUGCACGAACCGCGAGCAGCCAACGGUAUUUUGGUUCAUUUUAAAACAGGCCCGUGUGAGGAGCACAGCAACUGCACAAAUACUGAACCCCACACAGCAUGUCCCACCACCUGUCUCUGUGAUUUCUUUAGCCUGUUGACUCAUAUUUUUCUUUUCUGGAAGCGAGGGAAAAUGUCUGCCACGCUGAAAAUGCUCCUGGUUUGGGUUCGGUCUCAGCUCAUCCGAAAUGACUGGGUGGCGAUAAUGUUUCUGACUUCGUUAUUUUUUGCUUUUGUGUGUCAGGUGGUGGACGGAUGGCCCCCUGCCAUGUGAGGUGCAAGGGAGAGCUGUGGUGUAGGUAGGCUCCUCCACACGCCCGUCAUCUGCUGGUGGGGAUUGUCCUGGCCGUGUUACUGCUUGGGAAAAAAAACCCUACAACUUACAAACAAGUAAGGCCGGGUUUUUAGGGAGAUUGCAUCUUCUGUGGCAUGACUGGAAAGCACAGCCGUGAUCUGGGGCGUACAAAGCCCUGUCUCAGGCCGUGAAUAAGCAGCCGCUUUGCUUUGCGUGCUUUCAACUUCUGCUCAUUUAGUGUCAUUAAAGCAAGAGCAAGAAAGGGAAUCUGCAUCCUCCCCCAAAUUUGGAAAUUCCCAGUGCAAACAUGUCGCCAGCUUGUGGUGCCUUCACUGAAGCGAUGACUCUGGGAGGGCUGUGUGUGUGUGUGUGUGUGUGUGUGUGUGUGUGUGUGUGUAAAAAUACUUUAACUUUCAUAAAUAUUUCCUGAAAACCUGCCUCCGAACCGCUUUUCAUUUUGCCAAUUUUCCCUUCCAUCAGUGAAUUCCAAGUUCAAAUUCUCUCAGCGUUUGGAGAGGAACAAAGCAUUUUGCCCCUGGUAGCUUUUGCCGAAGACUUUCCGUGCUGUGAACAGGCAGGAAAAUCAGUUCCUGGCACUGCGCUAAUUAGAGCCCAUCUGAGGAGGAGAGAAGUGAAUCCCAACAAUGCAGCUCAACGGUAGUGCUAAAAUCUUGCAAUUAAACUGUGCUGCGGGAUUAUGCAUAUUAGCACAUGAAUUACUCUUUAAAUGAUAAACAUCAGACCAAAUAAUUAUCUAAAGCUUCUGGGAAGGGACAAUCAGUGAGGCUGGGCUGGCAAAACGUGACGGUUUUCUUCUGCAAAGCCCAAAUAAGUCUACAGCUUGCUGAAAACACACCAAAUUGUUCAAUGGGACUGAACAGCUGGGUUAAGCAACAUCGCUUCUCUUUGCCGUACAGGUGGCACGCCACGCGCUCUUCCCUUGAAAGCCGGGCAAAAAUGAGGUUAAUCAAGACCUCAAGGAGCACCUACCUGCCUCCAAAGGCUGGCUGCAGAAAGCCUGGUGGUGCUGGUUCACCUCCCUGCCCCUCCUGCCGAGGGGCUGCUUGCAGGGUGGUGGGAUUGCAGCUGCCCAGGGCCUUGCUCACGGUUUGAUGCCGGCACAGGUUGGGGGAGAGCUGCCAGGAGCCGGCCGCACGCUGCCGGUUAAUUGGCGAUUAAUUGAGGAAUUGCCCUCGUGCUGUAAAAUGCACUCUGGGCAAACGAAACCGCGGCUGCCACAUGCACCUGGUGGAAGUGCCCGAGCAGCCACUGCUAGCGGGGAAAUUCAUCUUUUCCAAGCCGCACAGCGGGCACUCAGCUGUUUUCUGGGGGAGCAGCUUCCCUGUUGGGCAGCCCUCAGCGAGCGCUGUUCUGUGC